RNAcentral lists this transfer RNA (574 nucleotides) under Nostoc sp. CMT-1FSIN-NPC7. RNAcentral's name for it is "16S-23S ribosomal RNA intergenic spacer". The stretch from base 300 to 372 matches the Rfam family "tRNA". The record is from RNAcentral. Lineage: Bacteria; Bacillati; Cyanobacteriota; Cyanophyceae; Nostocales; Nostocaceae.
UUUAGGGAGACCUACACCCCUCAGGAAUCGAAAAGCAAACAGUUAUAUAGAUACUGAGUUGGUCUAACCUAGGUCGGUCGCAGAUAUUUGCAAUAUGUUCAACGCUUUCAAACUAUGAUUUGGUUCGAAAUGGGCUAUUAGCUCAGGUGGUUAGAGCGCACCCCUGAUAAGGGUGAGGUCCCUGGUUCGAGUCCAGGAUGGCCCACCUGAAUCAAUUAAAAAGGUAAAAUGUAAAAUUAAAAAUUGAAGAUGACUUCAAGAGAUUUUUAAUUCUCUAUUUUUAAUUUUUAAUUAUGGAUGGGGGUUUAGCUCAGUUGGUAGAGCGCCUGCUUUGCAAGCAGGAUGUCAGCGGUUCGAGUCCGCUAACCUCCACCUGUGGCGAUUGCCAAAUUAAAAUUAGUGAGAGUUCAGCAACAUGACUUUGGUGUCAGACUGCUGAGUUUAAUCUCAGCCAGAACCUUGAAAACUGCAUAGUAACGCGAAAUUAGCAGGUAGACACAGACAUUCUUUUAUAGAUGUUGAGUGAAUGCAAUCAUGUGAAACACCAAAUGAAUUGAGUGGUCAAGCUAAUAAG